UGGGGUAACUGCCAUUCUGUCCUAAAAAAGUGUCCAAUGUUGUACGGGCAGUGUCCCAAACGGAAUCACAGAGAGAGAGAGGAGAAGAGGGAGAGAGAGAGAGGAGAGAGGAGAGGAGAGAAGAAAAGAGACAAAGAGGAGAGAGGAGAGAGAGAGAGGAGAGAGGAGAGCAGAGAGACAAGGAGACAGAGAGAGAGAGGAGAGCAGAGAGACAGGAGACAGAGAGAGGAGAGAGGAGAGCAGAGAGACAGGAGACAGAGAGAGAGGGAGAGAGAGAGGAGAGAGGAGACGGAGAGGAGGAAAAGAGACAGAGAGGAAAGAGGGAGAGAGAGAGGGAAAGGAGAGGGAAGAGAGACAGGAGACAGAGAGAGAGGGAGAGAGAGAGGAGAGGAGGAGAGGAGAGGAAGAAAGGAGAUAGAGAGGAGAGAGGAGAGAGAAGAGGACAGGAGACAGAAGAGAGAGGGAGAAGAGAGGAGAGAGGAGAGGCAGAAGGAGAUAGAGAGGAGAGGAGAGAGACAGAGAGAGAGGGAGGAAAAAAGAGGGAAUUUGAUUUUUUUAGGGUCCCUUGUGUGAAGGCGAUCAAAAAGCCAGGGGCGGGAAUCU
This 603-nucleotide long non-coding RNA is filed under the name Aotus nancymaae (Ma's night monkey). RNAcentral describes it as "lncRNA (ENSANAG00000038681.1)". Lineage: Eukaryota; Metazoa; Chordata; Mammalia; Primates; Aotidae. The record is from RNAcentral.